RNAcentral lists this ribosomal RNA (497 nucleotides) under uncultured bacterium. RNAcentral describes it as "partial 16S ribosomal RNA". It matches the Rfam family "Bacterial small subunit ribosomal RNA", at positions 28 to 507 of the family's 1533-position model. The record is from RNAcentral.
GAUGAACGCUGGCGGCGUGCCUAAUACAUGCAAGUCGAGCGAACGGACGAGAAGCUUGCUUCUCUGAUGUUAGCGGCGGACGGGUGAGUAACACGUGGAUAACCUACCUAUAAGACUGGGAUAACUUCGGGAAACCGGAGCUAAUACCGGAUAAUAUUUUGAACCGCAUGGUUCAAAAGUGAAAGACGGUCUUGCUGUCACUUAUAGCUGGAUCCGCGCUGCAUUAUCUAGUUGGUAAGGUAACGGCUUACCAAGGCGACGAUGCAUAGCCGACCUGAGAGGGUGAUCGGCCACACUGGAACUGAGACACGGUCCAGACUCCUACGGGAGGCUGCAGUAGGGAAUCUUCCGCAAUGGGCGAAAGCCUGACGGAGCAACGCCGCGUGAGUGAUGAAGGUCUUCGGAUCGUAAAACUCUGUUAUUAGGGAAGAACAUAUGUGUAAGUAACUGUGCACAUCUUGACGGUACCUAAUCAGAAAGCCACGGCUAACUACGUG